UUUGCCUUUUAAUUGGAGGCUCGUAUGAAUGGACACACGAGGGCAUAGGUGUCUCUUUUAUGGCCCUAUAAAUUACCCCCCAGGUGAAGAGACCUGGAUAAUAUAAAAAGACGAAAAGACCCUGUGGAGCUUUACUUAACUUACCCUACUAUUUAAUAGAAGAAACCUUUUUAGGGUAAAAUAGUUUAGUUGGGGCGACUAAGGAGCACAAUAAACCCUCCUAUACACCCUUCGGCCAUGCGCCCAUAAACAGAUCCACAGCCGUGAAUAUAGACCCAGCUACCCCAGGGAUAACAGGCUAAUCUUCCUCGAGAGCCCACAUUGACAGGAAGGAUUGGCACCUCGAUGUUGGCUUAAGGUUCCUCCAAGGUGUAGCAGCUUUGGCAGUAGGUUUGUUCAACCUUUAAAACCU
RNAcentral lists this ribosomal RNA (412 nucleotides) under Prionospio sp. M TMG-2019. RNAcentral's name for it is "partial large subunit ribosomal RNA". It matches the Rfam family "Bacterial large subunit ribosomal RNA", at positions 1968 to 2596 of the family's 2925-position model. Lineage: Eukaryota; Metazoa; Annelida; Polychaeta; Spionida; Spionidae. The record is from RNAcentral.